RNAcentral lists this ribosomal RNA (829 nucleotides) under Coccomyces fanjingshanensis. Its description in RNAcentral is "partial small subunit ribosomal RNA". It matches the Rfam family "Bacterial small subunit ribosomal RNA", at positions 761 to 1244 of the family's 1533-position model. Lineage: Eukaryota; Fungi; Ascomycota; Leotiomycetes; Rhytismatales; Rhytismataceae. The record is from RNAcentral.
GGGGGGAGCGAUGGAUAGAUACCCUAGUAGUCCUUGCUGUAAAUGAUGAAUGUCAUAGACUAGAUAUUUAUUUGGUUUAUAAAUGAAAGUGUAAGCAUUCCACCUCAUGAGUAAUGUGGCAACGCAGGAACUGAAAUCAUUAGACCGUUUCUGAGAACAGUAGUGAAGUAUGUUAUUUAAUUCGAUGACCCACGUAAAACCUUACCACAACUUGAAUGUCAAACGUGAAUAAGGAAGUAAAAAUAAAGCCAACUAACCAUUGGAUGCAUGCUUGAUAACACACCUUUUUUUUUAGCGUUUACGCUCGUUUACGCUCGUUUACGCUCGUUUACGCUCGUUUACGCUCGUUUACGCUCGUUUACGCUCGUUUACGCUCGUUUACGCUCGUUUACGCUCGUUUACGCUAAAGAAAAAAGUGUAAUGCAAGAGAGAGCCUUAGGUAGUUAGCCAGGGAAAUGUUGCAAUACAUUUCAAUGUCAAAUUAGACAUGGGUAACCUGUUAAUGUUGAAAUACAUUACGUUUACGUGUAGCCUAAAAACUACAUUUACCUGGAAGAUGUUGAAAUACAUUUAAAUGUAGAAAUACAUUUGACACGGUUGAUACACGCGUUGCACGGUUGUCUUUAGCUAAUGUCGUGAGAUUUGGUUAGCUCCAUAAAAUUAGCGUAAACCCCGGUUCUAUUAAAAAAAUUAAUAAUACAAUAAUAUUAUUAUUGUGAUAGAGCAGUUCAUCACUAUAUUGAAUACAUAAAGAGAUAACAGGGACGAUGACAAAUCAUCAUGGCCUGAAUGUGUGGGCUAGAAGAGUGGCGCCAUACACUAUAUAUAA